GAUGAAGAACGUAGCGAAAUGCGAUACGUAAUGUGAAUUGCAGAAUUCAGUGAAUCAUCGAAUCUUUGAACGCAUAUUGCGCUCUUUGGUAUUCCGAAGAGCAUGCUUGUUUGAGUAUCAGUAAACACCUCAACCUCUUCUUGAUUUUUCAAAAGGAGGGUGGACUUGAGCUAUCCCAACAACCUUUACCGGUCGGCGGGCGGCUUGAAAUGCAGGUGCAGCUGGACUUUUAUCUGAGCUAAAAGCAUAUCUAUUUAGUCCUCGUCAAACAGGAUUAUUACUUUUGCUGCAGCUAACAUAAAGGAUAAUUGUCCUCUUUGCUGACUGAUGCAGGAUUUUACGACACUUUAUGUGUUGUUCAACUCGCUCUCAAAUCAAGUAAGACUACCCGCUGAACUUAAGCAUAUCAAUAAGCGGAGGA
RNAcentral lists this unclassified non-coding RNA (421 nucleotides) under soil metagenome. RNAcentral describes it as "partial contains 5.8S ribosomal RNA, internal transcribed spacer 2, and large subunit ribosomal RNA". The stretch from base 1 to 120 matches the Rfam family "5.8S ribosomal RNA", at positions 35 to 154 of the family's 154-position model. The record is from RNAcentral.